RNAcentral lists this small nucleolar RNA (127 nucleotides) under Theobroma cacao (cacao). The record is from RNAcentral. Lineage: Eukaryota; Viridiplantae; Streptophyta; Magnoliopsida; Malvales; Malvaceae.
AUCCCAGAUAAGCUUUCCUUGUGUUUAUCUGAUUCAUGGGAGGCAGAUAACAACAAUGGAAGUUUCGCUGAUAGCACCUUUUAUUUAUUUCCUGGGAGGUGUUCUAAUAGUAGGUUUCCGUACAUUA